This 64-nucleotide transfer RNA is filed under the name Symphoromyia crassicornis. RNAcentral's name for it is "tRNA-Cys". It matches the Rfam family "tRNA". From Rfam's summary of the family: Transfer RNA (tRNA) molecules are approximately 80 nucleotides in length. Lineage: Eukaryota; Metazoa; Arthropoda; Insecta; Diptera; Rhagionidae. The record is from RNAcentral.
GGCUUUAUAGUCAAUAAUGAUAUUAGACUGCAAUUCUAGAGGAGUGAGUUAAUCACUAAAGCUU